Molecule: ribosomal RNA, 253 nt
Filed under: uncultured bacterium
Lineage: Bacteria
Description: partial 16S ribosomal RNA
Rfam family: Bacterial small subunit ribosomal RNA
Source: RNAcentral
UACAGAGGUCCCAAGCGUUGUUCGGAUUCACUGGGCGUAAAGGGUGCGUAGGCGGUCGGGUAAGUCUGACGUGAAAUCUUCAAGCUUAACUUGGAAACUGCGUCGGAUACUAUUCGGCUAGAGGAAUGGAGGGGAGACUGGAAUACUUGGUGUAGCAGUGAAAUGCGUAGAUAUCAAGUGGAACACCAGUGGCGAAGGCGAGUCUCUGGACAUUUCCUGACGCUGAGGCACGAAAGCCAGGGGAGCAAACGGG